GGCCCUGUGGCUCAAAAGAGUAGGGCACUGGCCCCAUAUGCCAGAGAUGGCAGGUUCAAACCCAGCCCUGGCCA
Non-coding RNA from Otolemur garnettii (small-eared galago), 74 nucleotides. The record is from Rfam. Lineage: Eukaryota; Metazoa; Chordata; Mammalia; Primates; Galagidae.